This 1080-nucleotide long non-coding RNA is filed under the name Sus scrofa (pig). Its description in RNAcentral is "lncRNA (ENSSSCG00050078649.1)". Lineage: Eukaryota; Metazoa; Chordata; Mammalia; Artiodactyla; Suidae. The record is from RNAcentral.
GGACAUGGCAUGGAACGUGUGUGCGGAAAAGUUCGAACAUCAAGUGACCCUUGAAGCGCUACAACACUUAAAUGCACUCUUUCAGGAGUAUGAGAAAAGAGGAAGACAGCUGUUGGAUAUGGAGACUUUCAAAUGCAUAAUGAAGCAGAGCAUGAGGUUACAGAAUAAAAGUACUGAACAAAUAGAACAACUUUUCAUGAAAAUAGACUAUGAAGCAGUGGGCAGAAUUCAUUGGGAUGGCUUCUGCACAUAUCUGCAGUUAGCAUAUUCGGAGCAAGCUGAUGCUUUGGCUCGACAGAAAGAGGUUUCCUUCCAGCUGCCUGCUGUGCUGCAGGGACUGUCGUACGGGGGACCCGUGCUGCGCAUUCUCUCUGUGCCUGAUGACACCUUAAUCAUGAUCAGAGAAGAUGGAGCCAUUUAUUUCUGGUCCCUGCAGCUGAAGUUGAAAAGAAGAAAGCGAGUUUUUGACAAGCCCAUCAUUCGGAAGCGCCGGUGGGUGACGGAUGCCACCAGCAUGCCACAGUACAACAAACUGAUCCUAGGAACUGGAAACCGCGAAAUCCAGCUGUAUGAGUUCUCUAACUUGGAGCCUUACUGUCAGAUUGGUGGCCUGGAAGCUGUCCCUCUGAAACUGGACUACUGGUACGAGGAUCCUGACAAGUGCCUGAUUAUCUAUGGUGAUGACCAGGCUGAAAAAAAACUUAAAAUGAAGGUAGCCUUAAAGAGUUCAUGUUGCCAUCUAGCAAAGUGAUGAGUUGUGCUCCAGAGGGAAAUAAGUUCAGAAGCAUUGGCUGUGCCUGUCUCACCUAACAUCGCCUCACCAUCCUUCAUCGGCUUUCAGAGUCUUCACGGUUUGGAAUCAGGGAUGAGCAUAAGGGAAGCUACAUUGGCAACAUGGCGACAAAAGCAAGGGAAACUCAGUUCAUCAUCAUCAUAUCACAAAGGCUGUCUCCAUGAGCGACUUUCCUUGGGCUUCUUCUUUUGUUGCAUCUAGCCCAGGCUUGUGCACUUGAAGAUCAUUUGAUAAUAUUCAUCAGUGUUAUGUUCAGCAUGCUAACCGGUUUCUUAAGAAGGGCAGUA